Molecule: long non-coding RNA, 807 nt
Filed under: Anas zonorhyncha (Eastern spot-billed duck)
Lineage: Eukaryota; Metazoa; Chordata; Aves; Anseriformes; Anatidae
Description: lncRNA (ENSAZOG00000009795.1)
Source: RNAcentral
AUGAACGACUGCAGAGAGGAGUUGAAAUUAAGUCAGCAGAGAUCACGAUUUGUUUUGGCUCAGAUCCUAAUCCAGUUUAUAAUCCAAGGUCUGGAGUCCCAGUACCAGAUUACUCUGAGUGAUGAAGAAAUGAUAGCCAGGAACUCUGUAGACACAGACAAGGAAAAUCUGUGAUAUCCUCCUAUGUGUUGCUCUUACCUGAAGAAUCUUUUAGAUUUGAGGAGUGGUCAGUGAACUCUCAAGCUUUGCUAAACUAUGCAGGAAUUUUCCUCUUUGUGUGAAGUCUCCAUAUGAUCUUAUUUGAGCCACAUGAAGCCACAAAUACAUUUUAGCUUGGACCAUAUCACACAGGUGUGUGAACAAGCACUAUCACCAGUCUUAGAUCUACCAUAUUAUAGCUGCCAUUGUACCACAGAUUUUAUUCUUCUAGAAAGAUUUAAUGAUGAGUAAAACUCUUUCAUUGAUAUUCAUAUUAAUAAAACAAAUAAAUACUACAAAUAAUUUAUUUCCAUAAUAAAAGUGGUGCUUUGCAAAUACAACAUAUCUAUAGUAUAUUUAGAACUGAUCCAAAAUAUGAGAACAGACAGUUUAAAAAGAAGUACAAGACUGCAUGGAGAAGAUAAUAAAUCUUACUAAGAAGUAUUUCUUGCUUCUUAGUAAUGUUGAGCCAUGUAAUUUUUUUUUUUUUUUUCCUGAAGAAUUCAUUUCCUUCUUCAUACUUUUCCUGUUGCUUGUAUGUAUAUCACAGAAUCACAGAAUUGUCUAGUUUGGAAGAGACCUCAAGAUCAUUGAGUCCAACCUUUAACC